This 440-nucleotide ribosomal RNA is filed under the name uncultured bacterium. RNAcentral's name for it is "partial 16S ribosomal RNA". It matches the Rfam family "Bacterial small subunit ribosomal RNA", at positions 338 to 795 of the family's 1533-position model. The record is from RNAcentral.
CCUACGGGCGGCAGCAGUGGGGAAUAUUGCACAAUGGGGGGAACCCUGAUGCAGCGACGCCGCGUGAGUGAAGAAGGACUUCGGUAUGUAAAGCUCUAUCAGCCGGGAAGAAAAUGACGGUACCUGACUAAGAAGCCCCGGCUAACUACGUGCCAGCAGCCGCGGUAAUACGUGGGGGGCACGCGUUAUCCGGAUUUACGGGGUGGAAAGGGAGCGUAGGUGGCAGAGCAAGUCUGAAGUGAAAGCCCGCGGCCCAACGGCGGGACUGCUUUGGAAACUGCCCGGCUAGAGUGCUGGAGAGGUAAGCGGAAUGCCUGGUGUAGCGGUGAAAUGCGUAGAUAUUAGGAGGAACACCAGUGGCGAAGGCGGCUUACUGGACAGUAACUGACGUUGAGGCUCGAAAGCGUGGGGAGCAAACAGGAUUAGAUACCCGGGUAGUC